UCCCUGGUGGCUCAGACGGUAGAGCGUCUGCCUGCAAUGCAGGAGACCUGGGUUCACUCCCUGGGUCGGGAA
This is a non-coding RNA of Bos taurus (domestic cattle), 72 nucleotides long. The record is from Rfam. Lineage: Eukaryota; Metazoa; Chordata; Mammalia; Artiodactyla; Bovidae.